Molecule: unclassified non-coding RNA, 218 nt
Filed under: uncultured Tomentella
Lineage: Eukaryota; Fungi; Basidiomycota; Agaricomycetes; Thelephorales; Thelephoraceae
Description: partial internal transcribed spacer 2
Source: RNAcentral
ACACCUCAACUCUCAUGGCCUGCCAUGAUGAGCUUGGAUUUUGGGGGUCUUGCCGGCGAAACCGUCGGCUCCUCUCAAACAAAUCAGCUUGCCAGUGUUUGGUGGCAUCACAGGUGUGAUAACUAUCUACGCUUGUGGUUCUCCACCAGGUAACCUUCAGCAAUGGAGGUUCGCUGGAGCUCACAGACGUCUCUCCUCAGGGAAGACAGCCUUUGAAC